GGGGUCUUGGCACAGUGGUAGCGCGCACGCUUCGCAUCUCCGUCGAGGAGAAACUGCCUGCGUGAGGUCGUGAGUUCAAUCCUCACAGUCUCCA
This is a non-coding RNA of Lyophyllum atratum, 94 nucleotides long. The record is from the annotation of a GenBank genome assembly. Lineage: Eukaryota; Fungi; Basidiomycota; Agaricomycetes; Agaricales; Lyophyllaceae.